This is a non-coding RNA of Camellia sinensis, 296 nucleotides long. The record is from RefSeq and is a predicted model, not a curated record. Lineage: Eukaryota; Viridiplantae; Streptophyta; Magnoliopsida; Ericales; Theaceae.
CUUUAAAUGCAGGCCUUUGAGGAAGCCAUUGCUGAGCUGGACACUUUGGGAGUGGAGUCUUACAAGGACAGCACUCUUAUCAUGCAACUACUAAGGGACAAUCUCACUCUUUGGACUUCAGAUAUGCAGGAUCAAAUAGACGAGGCUUGAGCUGAUGAACCAGUCUCUCCUCGAGGGAGGUGGGCUUGAAAUGUCAUAAUCUUUUUGUAAUUUGCAUGUAUAAAAUUGAACAUGUCCUCAUAUUCAUAGUAUGCACUGUAAUGAUUUGCUAAUUAAAACUUGCUCUGGUUUCAAAA